AGGCGAAACCCCUGAAAGGGGGUCGCGGGGGAGUGGUGUCCCCCGCCUGACGAAGCCAGCCCUAC
This 65-nucleotide non-coding RNA is filed under the name Streptomyces cinnamoneus. Lineage: Bacteria; Bacillati; Actinomycetota; Actinomycetes; Kitasatosporales; Streptomycetaceae. The record is from RNAcentral.